CACGUAGGGGGCGAGCGUUGUCCGGAUUUAUUGGGCGUAAAGAGCUCGUAGGCGGCUCAGUAAGUCAGGUGUGAAAACUCCAGGCUCAACCUGGAGACGCCACCUGAUACUGCUGUGGCUAGAGUCCGGUAGGGGAGCAUGGAAUUCCUGGUGUAGCGGUGAAAUGCGCAGAUAUCAGGAGGAACACCAGUGGCGAAGGCGGUGCUCUGGGCCGGAACUGACGCUCAUGCACGAAAGCGUGGGGAGCAAGCAGG
Molecule: ribosomal RNA, 254 nt
Filed under: uncultured bacterium
Lineage: Bacteria
Description: partial 16S ribosomal RNA
Rfam family: Bacterial small subunit ribosomal RNA
Source: RNAcentral